AACUACUUUUUUGACUUACGAAAAUGGAAAAUCAGCUGCUCGAGUUCAAGAUCAUCUUCGUCCUAAUGGUGCUCAUAGAUGGCACAACUACAUGAAAAGCCCAAAGUGUUUGCAGUAGAGUGUCUUGGUGUUGUUGGAGUUGAGUUUCCUCUUUUUCCAUCAUCUUAUAUUGCGAUUUAUAGAUGUCUUAUGAACUGCAAUGGUAUCUACUGCUACGUCGAUUUAUUGGGGGAUGUAGAAUUUAACACUCCUUAGCUGUAAAGUGGGACACUCUUUUAGGACUCGAGUACUUGCACUGAAUUAUCUCAGGGUCAAGCUGUGAGAUUAGUCCUAGUAAAAGUGUCUGCUGAAAUAAAAUGUAAAUAGAUUUGCAUUUUCCUAUGUAGUAAGAUAAAGAUUUCUAGUUAUGAGUAUUUAAUCAUUUGGAGGUCAAUCAUCAGUAAUUUCAGCUCAUUUGGAAAGAAAUAACAUAACAAUUACAUUUAAUCUUAGACUUGGCAGCAACUUAUAUACACUAUACCCAUGAAGAUACCCUUCUCACUUGUUUUAGAGAAGACUGCAAUAUUGCUUCCCUUUCAUAUUACCACUCUCUCAACUUCCACUUGCCAGUACUAGGUAACCAAAUAAUUUUAUUAUAGUGAUUUAUUUGUGAUCGAGGUGACUUGAUUGUAUAAAUAUCUUUUACGAUGUCAAGUAACUGUGCUGGUAAACUGAGUUUAAGAUGUGUGUGGCACUCCACACUUUUUCCUUUAGGAAGAUGGAGG
Molecule: long non-coding RNA, 764 nt
Organism: Solanum tuberosum (potato)
Lineage: Eukaryota; Viridiplantae; Streptophyta; Magnoliopsida; Solanales; Solanaceae
Exons: 2
Source: RefSeq, a predicted model, not a curated record